Molecule: ribosomal RNA, 515 nt
Filed under: uncultured bacterium
Lineage: Bacteria
Description: partial 16S ribosomal RNA
Rfam family: Bacterial small subunit ribosomal RNA
Source: RNAcentral
GAUGAACGCUGGCGGCGUGCCUAAUACAUGCAAGUCGAGCGAAUGGAUUAAGAGCUUGCUCUUAUGAAGUUAGCGGCGGACGGGUGAGUAACACGUGGGUAACCUGCCCAUAAGACUGGGAUAACUCCGGGAAACCGGGGCUAAUACCGGAUAACAUUUUGAACCGCAUGGUUCGAAAUUGAAAGGCGGCUUCGGCUGUCACUUAUGGAUGGACCCGCGUCGCAUUAGCUAGUGGGUGAGGUGACGGCUCACCAAGGCAACGAGUCGUAGCCGACCGUGGGAGGUGGUAGGCCAACACUGGGACUGAGACCAGGCCAAACCCCCAAGGGGAGGAAGCAGUGGGAAAUUUCCGGAAAUGACGAAAGGCCGAAGGGGGAACGGUGGGGUGAGUGAUAAGGGGUUUGGGUUCUUAAACUCCUUUGUUAGGGAAGAACAAGUGCUAGUUGAAUAAGCUGGCACCUUGACGGUACCUAACCAGAAAGCCACGGCUGACUACGUGCCAGCCGCCGCAGUAA